UACGAAGGGGGCUAGCGUUGCUCGGAAUUACUGGGCGUAAAGCGCACGUAGGCGGAUUGUUAAGUCGGGUGUGAAAUCCUGGAGCUCAACUCCAGAACUGCCUUCGAUACUGGCGAUCUCGAGUCCGGGAGAGGUGAGUGGAACUGCGAGUGUAGAGGUGAAAUUCGUAGAUAUUCGCAAGAACACCAGUGGCGAAGGCGGCUCACUGGCCCGGUACUGACGCUGAGGUGCGAAAGCGUGGGGAGCAAACAGG
Molecule: ribosomal RNA, 253 nt
Filed under: uncultured bacterium
Lineage: Bacteria
Description: partial 16S ribosomal RNA
Rfam family: Bacterial small subunit ribosomal RNA
Source: RNAcentral